CACCAGGUUGAUUCUGCCUGACGUGGAUGCUAGUCUCAUAGGUUAAGCCAUGCAUGUGCAAGCGAAGCGUAAGUGGAGCGGCGCAAGGCUCAGUAACGGGCGAGUAUUUGAUCUCCUAGAGUGGAUAUCCUCUGUAACCGGAGGGCAAAACACAAGAUGAGCGAUUGACGAGGUCGUUCGUUUAACGAAUAGUGUAGGAGAGUAAGAAGCCAUCCCAUCAGUUAGUAAGUAGGGUAAGGGCCUACUUAGACGAAGACGGGUACGGGGAAUUAUCGUUUGAUUCCGGAGAGGGAGCCUGAGAGACGGCUACCAGGUCCAAGGACAGCAGCAGGCGCGAAAAUUACCGCAGCCUGCAUUCAGGGCGGUAGUAAGGAGACGUGAAAACAAUGUGCGGGCAAAAAACGCACUAGAUACAGGAGGACAAGACUGGUGCCAGCACCCGCGGUAAUACCAGCUCCUGGAGUGUCUAUGAUAUGAUUGCUGCAGUUAAAGAGUUCGUAGUCGAAGUGGUUAUAACGGUGUAACAGGCCUUCUCUCAAGGAGGGUUAUGCGCCGUGAUUCCAUGGAAUAAGGAGCGUUUAGGGGCCAGGUUAUUAAGCGACGAGGGGUGAAAUCUGGUGACUCGCUUAGGAGCAACAGAGGCGAAAGCGCUGGCCAGGAGCGAAUCCGAUGAUAAAGGACGUAGGCUAGAGGAUCGAAGACGAUUAGAGACCGUUGUAGUUCUAGCAGUAAACGAUGCCGAUACCGUGGUGCGGAUACGCGACGCGGAAGAGAAAUCGAGUAGGGCCCUGGGGAGAGUACACGCGCAAGCGAGAAAUUUAAAGGAAAUUGACGGAAGAACACCACAAGGAGUGGAGUGUGCGGCUUAAUUUGACUCAACGCGGGACAGCUUACCAGGCCCGACGGCCGGACGAGUGUUGUACACGAUAGGUCGAAGAGUGGUGCAUGGCCGUUAACGACGAGUGAGGUGACUUUUGGGUUAAAUCCGGGAAGUAGUGAGACCCCUACCGAAAGGGACAGGUGCCGAAAGCACAGGAAGGAAGGGUCAAGAACAGGUCAGUGAUGCCCUCAGAUGGUCUGGGCUGCACGCGCACUACAGUGGUCAUAGAAAUGAAACGAUAGAAUUAAAGAUGAUCGAGAGGGAAUGAGCUUUGUAAGAGGCUCAGGAACGAGGAAUUGCUAGUAAUCGCGGACUCAUUAAGACGCGAUGAAUACGUCCCUGUUCUUUGUACACACCGCCCGUCGUUAUCGAAGAUGGAGUCAGGCGCGAACAAGCGAGAGCGAGUGAGUGCAGGAUUCUAGAUGUGAUACAAGUCGUAACAUGGUUGCUGUUGG
Molecule: ribosomal RNA, 1335 nt
Filed under: Glugea atherinae
Lineage: Eukaryota; Fungi; Microsporidia; Glugeidae
Description: SSU rRNA
Rfam family: Microsporidia small subunit ribosomal RNA
Source: RNAcentral